RNAcentral lists this ribosomal RNA (274 nucleotides) under uncultured bacterium. Its description in RNAcentral is "partial 16S ribosomal RNA". It matches the Rfam family "Bacterial small subunit ribosomal RNA", at positions 523 to 796 of the family's 1533-position model. The record is from RNAcentral.
AUACGGAGGGUGCAAGCGUUAAUCGGAAUUACUGGGCGUAAAGCGUACGUAGGCGGUUUAUUAAGUCAGAUGUGAAAGCCCCGGGCUUAACCUGGGAACUGCAUUUGAAACUAGUAGGCUAGAGUAUGGUAGAGGGGGGUAGAAUUCCUAGUGUAGCGGUGAAAUGCGUAGAUAUUAGGAGGAAUACCAGUGGCGAAGGCGGCCCCCUGGACCAAUACUGACGCUGAGGUACGAAAGCGUGGGGAGCGAACAGGAUUAGAAACCCUAGUAGUCC